UCCCUGUUACCAGGGCAGUCUCGUUAGAAAAUCCAACUAACGAUAAGGGUUGCGCUCGUUGCGGGACUUAACCCAACAUCUCACGACACGAGCUGAAGACGGCCAUGCAGCACCUGUCACCGCGUUCCUAAAAGGCACAGUCACCUUUCGGUGUCCUUCGCGGGAUGUCAAACCUUGGUAAGGUUCUCGGCUUAGUAUCCAAUUAAACAACACGCUCCACCGCUUGUGCGGGUCCCCGUCAAUUCCUUUGAGUUUUAGUCUUGCGACCGUACUCCCCAGGCGGGAUGCUUAACGCGUUAGCUUUGCUUCUGAAGGGGUCGAUACCUCCAAACAGCUAGCAUCCAUCGUUUACAGCGUGGACUAC
This 364-nucleotide unclassified non-coding RNA is filed under the name uncultured bacterium. RNAcentral's name for it is "contains 16S-23S intergenic spacer region". The record is from RNAcentral.